AUCCAAGCCCUAAAACCCUUGUUCUAAAAUCAAAGUAAAGCAGUUAGAGUGUAUAUUACAUAAUGCUAAGAAUCCAUGAAAAAGAGAACUUCCGAGGAAAAUAAAAAGGAGUGAACUAUGUGUCACUAAUGCAUGUUCACAUCCAUAUAAGAGAAAGAAUACUAAAGUGAAACUGGACAAACCACAUAAAUGCGUGCGAACAAAUGUAAAAGCACAGUAAAGUCAAUCAAUAAAGGUCAGAUCUUUGGAUAAUGUUUAUAAAAAAACGUAAUUUGAUGACUUUUUUUGAUGGAAAACGAAUUCACACCAGAUACAGAGUUUACUCAUAAAACCAAAAACGAGAAAAUCAGCAAAACCCAACAAGCAUGAGAAGGAUCUAUUCCAGAUUCCACAACCCAUUUCUCUUAAAAAAAACCCGAUCGAAUCAAAUAGACAAAACCCUAAUAGCAACAAGAAUCAAAUCGAUAAAUUUAUAACAAAUAUCUCGUAAAAAUUCUCUCUUUAACUCUAAUUUGAUAACCAAAAGUUACUUCAGUUACAACAUGUACAUCAUCAUGAUUCAUAAACGAAACAGAGGAAAGACAACAAAAAAAUUGGAUGAUCCGACAAAGACAGAUCCAGAAGUCAGAAAACGGAUAAUAAAAGAGAAAGGAGCUCGAAAAUAUGUUUUACCAAAUUAAUUUCUUCAAAACAAGA
Molecule: long non-coding RNA, 696 nt
Organism: Arabidopsis thaliana (thale cress)
Lineage: Eukaryota; Viridiplantae; Streptophyta; Magnoliopsida; Brassicales; Brassicaceae
Product: other RNA
Exons: 1
Source: RefSeq